Molecule: small RNA, 98 nt
Filed under: Salmonella enterica
Lineage: Bacteria; Pseudomonadati; Pseudomonadota; Gammaproteobacteria; Enterobacterales; Enterobacteriaceae
Also listed under: 1 other name
Description: partial RtT sRNA
Rfam family: RtT RNA
About the family: This family represents a bacterial cis-regulatory element known as RtT RNA. The exact function of RtT is unknown although it is thought that it may be involved in changing the cellular response in relation to amino acid starvation.
Source: RNAcentral
UUUAACAUCAAACUCAGAUGUUGAACGUGAAGGAUAACGUUGCGUCAGCAACGGCCCGUAGGGCGAGGCGGAGCCGAGUCAUCCUGCACGACCCACCA